GCCCCCGUAGCUCAGUGGAAAGAGCAAAGGAUUCCUAAUCCUUGAGCCGCAGGUUCGAUUCCCGCCGGGGGUA
RNAcentral lists this transfer RNA (73 nucleotides) under Desulfobacterales bacterium. Its description in RNAcentral is "tRNA-Arg". It matches the Rfam family "tRNA". Rfam says of the family: Transfer RNA (tRNA) molecules are approximately 80 nucleotides in length. Their secondary structure includes four short double-helical elements and three loops (D, anti-codon, and T loops). Further hydrogen bonds mediate the characteristic L-shaped molecular structure. tRNAs have two regions of fundamental functional importance: the anti-codon, which is responsible for specific mRNA codon recognition, and the 3' end, to which the tRNAs corresponding amino acid is attached (by aminoacyl-tRNA synthetases). tRNAs cope with the degeneracy of the genetic code in two manners: having more than one tRNA (with a specific anti-codon) for a particular amino acid; and 'wobble' base-pairing, i.e. permitting non-standard base-pairing at the 3rd anti-codon position. The record is from RNAcentral. Lineage: Bacteria; Pseudomonadati; Thermodesulfobacteriota; Desulfobacteria; Desulfobacterales.